Molecule: ribosomal RNA, 440 nt
Filed under: uncultured bacterium
Lineage: Bacteria
Description: bacterial SSU rRNA
Rfam family: Bacterial small subunit ribosomal RNA
Source: RNAcentral
CCUACGGGAGGCAGCAGUGGGGAAUAUUGCACAAUGGGCGCAAGCCUGAUGCAGCGACGCCGCGUGAGCGAUGAAGGCCUUCGGGUCGUAAAGCUCUGUCCUAAGGGAAGAAUAAUGACGGUACCUUAGGAGGAAGCUCCGGCUAACUACGUGCCAGAAGCCGCGGUAAUACGUGGUGGGAGAGCGUUCUCCGGACUCACUGGGCGUAAAGGGUGCGUAGGCGGCCCUGCAAGUCAGGAGUUAAAUCCAUCGGCUAAACCGAGGUCAGCUCUUGAAACUGUAGGGCUUGAGUGCAGGAGAGGAGGGCGGAAGUCCUAGUGUAGCGGUGAAAUGCGUAGAUAUUAGGAGGAACACCAGUGGCGAAGGCGGCUCUCUGGACUGCAACUGACGCUGAGGCACGAAAGCGUGGGGAGCGAACAGGAUUAGAUACCCUGGUAGUC